Paramuricea clavata is the source of this 397-nucleotide non-coding RNA. Lineage: Eukaryota; Metazoa; Cnidaria; Anthozoa; Malacalcyonacea; Plexauridae. The record is from the annotation of a GenBank genome assembly.
AAAAAAAGAUAUCAGCUCCAUUACUGUCUGGUUUUAACCGAUCAGGAUACCGUGAAUCGCUUUUACAAGUACCCCAAGCGCAUGCACUUUUUAGUCGUAACCGUUCUAUAUUGUUCUAUACAGUAUAUAUACGCUCUGCCAUGUUUGAUAUAUAUUUUUUUACAUUUUCCUGGGGCUAGAUACCACAGCGCAAAAACGAGAGGGCUGGAUACGUGCAUGUCACAGAGGCGAUAAAUUUGUAUGUACGAAGGAUAGUUAUAUUUUUGUUAUAGCCUUCAUUUUGUUGGACAAAAUGGUCCUACUGAAGAACAUCCAGACCCUGUAUCAGCAAUAACUAGUACGGAGAAUAAUAAUCCUAAUCUCCGUCUAGCAUAUAAAACGCAACAUUAAAAUGCGU